Long non-coding RNA from Rosa chinensis, 800 nucleotides. RefSeq lists it as uncharacterized. The transcript has 3 exons. NCBI's taxonomy places the organism in Eukaryota, Viridiplantae, Streptophyta, Magnoliopsida, Rosales, Rosaceae. The record is from RefSeq and is a predicted model, not a curated record.
CCAGAUUGGAGACUGAAUCUUCUGAGGGACAUCGUCCAUGUUUGGCCUCUGUAAUCUCUCUCACCAGGGUGAACUGCUCUACGAACCACCAUCCGUUGCUGCGAUCAUGGUUGGAGGAUUGCUGAAGAUAGUUUUUUCGAGGAUGAAAAUGAUGCGAGCAUUUUCAAGGAUGACAAUCUGAGAAUUUUCGGGGCUUUGGAUUCGAUCUACAUACGAAAGCCCUCUGCUUUCAUAGCUCACAGUCGCUACAGUUAGCCGGAUGCGCAACACGCGCCACCAUAUUUCUAGCAAGUGGAGGGGCUGAAUGGUUUGGUUUCAGAACUUGAUGGUGUAGCAAUGCAAGAGAAAGCCAUGCUUAACUAAUGUGAAGCAUUGCUGGCUUCAGCAGAAGCUAUGCAGGAAUUUCUAAACAAGUAACUGCAAGGUUAAGAAAGCUUCUACAUGAGGGGAAGUUGGAGAGAUAGAAUUGGAGAAUGAAAUAGUGAUUUCAGGGUGGACAUCAGAAGCUAUAUGAGAGCUAAGCUAAGCUAUUAUUAUUUAUUUAUUUAUUUCUGUUUUGAUUCCUUAAAAAAACAUAUAUUCUCUGGGAACUAAUUUAAGUAGCUUUGCUUUCUAUUGCUCUACAGAUUCAAGUAUGAAGAGGCAUCUUAAAGAGAAGAUGAUGGUGGACAUGUUAAAUAAGUCAUCUUCCAUUGUGCAGUUACGACAACUAUGGAAUACUAGCAUGGUCUCUCACAAGUGUUCUAGGAGGUUUUCCAUUUGUACUAUAAUAGCUGUAAUUAUACAAUCCAAAAGAUGGG